This 368-nucleotide ribosomal RNA is filed under the name uncultured organism. RNAcentral's name for it is "bacterial SSU rRNA". It matches the Rfam family "Bacterial small subunit ribosomal RNA", at positions 526 to 896 of the family's 1533-position model. The record is from RNAcentral.
UGGAGGGUGCGAGCGUUGUCCGGAUUUAUUGGGUUUAAAGGGUGCGUAGGCGGGCAGGUAAGUCAGUGGUGAAAUCUUUGGGCUUAACCCGAAAACUGCCAUUGAUACUAUCUGUCUUGAAUAUUGUGGAGGUUAGCGGAAUAUGUCAUGUAGCGGUGAAAUGCUUAGAUAUGACAUAGAACACCUAUUGCGAAGGCAGCUAACUACGCAUAUAUUGACGCUGAGGCACGAAAGCGUGGGGAUCAAACAGGAUUAGAUACCCUGGUAGUCCACGCCCUAAACGAUGGAUACUCGACAUACGCGAUACACUGUGUGUGUCUGAGCGAAAGCAUUAAGUAUCCCACCUGGGAAGUACGACCGCAAGGUUG